CUACGGGAGGCUGCAGUGAGGAAUAUUGCACAAUGGGGGGAACCCUGAUGCAGCAACGCCGCGUGGAGGAUGACGCAUUUCGGCGUGUAAACUCCUUUUAUAUGUCAAGAAAAUGACGGUAGCAUAUGAAUAAGCACCGGCUAACUCCGUGCCAGCAGCCGCGGUAAUACGGAGGGUGCAAGCGUUACUCGGAAUCACUGGGCGUAAAGGACGCGUAGGCGGGUUGGAAAGUCAGGUGUGAAAUCCUACAGCUUAACUGUAGAACUGCACUUGAAACUUCUAAUCUAGAGUAUGGGAGGGGGAGAUGGAAUUAGUGGUGUAGGGGUAAAAGCCGUAGAUAUCACUAGGAAUACCUAAAGCGAAGGCGAUCUCCUGGAACAUUACUGACGCUAAGGCGUGAAAGCGUGGGGAGCAAACAGGAUUAGAUACCCCAGUAGUC
Molecule: ribosomal RNA, 439 nt
Filed under: uncultured bacterium
Lineage: Bacteria
Description: partial 16S ribosomal RNA
Rfam family: Bacterial small subunit ribosomal RNA
Source: RNAcentral